RNAcentral lists this transfer RNA (72 nucleotides) under Hemileccinum impolitum. RNAcentral describes it as "Xerocomus impolitus tRNA-Arg". It matches the Rfam family "tRNA". From Rfam's summary of the family: Transfer RNA (tRNA) molecules are approximately 80 nucleotides in length. Their secondary structure includes four short double-helical elements and three loops (D, anti-codon, and T loops). Further hydrogen bonds mediate the characteristic L-shaped molecular structure. tRNAs have two regions of fundamental functional importance: the anti-codon, which is responsible for specific mRNA codon recognition, and the 3' end, to which the tRNAs corresponding amino acid is attached (by aminoacyl-tRNA synthetases). tRNAs cope with the degeneracy of the genetic code in two manners: having more than one tRNA (with a specific anti-codon) for a particular amino acid; and 'wobble' base-pairing, i.e. permitting non-standard base-pairing at the 3rd anti-codon position. The record is from RNAcentral. Lineage: Eukaryota; Fungi; Basidiomycota; Agaricomycetes; Boletales; Boletaceae.
AUAUCUUUAGCUUAAUGGUAUAGCAUUUGUCUACGAAACUAAAGAUUAUUGGUUCAAUUCCAAUAAGAUGUA